Molecule: small RNA, 68 nt
Filed under: Cricetulus griseus (Chinese hamster)
Lineage: Eukaryota; Metazoa; Chordata; Mammalia; Rodentia; Cricetidae
Source: RNAcentral
CCAUCCAAGUACUAACCAGACCAAUUCUGCUUAGCUUCCGGGAUCAGACAAGAUGGGGCACUUUCAGG